Molecule: long non-coding RNA, 1479 nt
Organism: Ictalurus furcatus (blue catfish)
Lineage: Eukaryota; Metazoa; Chordata; Actinopteri; Siluriformes; Ictaluridae
Exons: 5
Source: RefSeq, a predicted model, not a curated record
GGGAUGCUCAUGUUUAUUUUAAUUGGGUCUUAAUAAUGAUAAUGAGUCUUUAUUGUUCACAUAUACAUUACUGCACAGUGAAAUUCUUUUCUUCGCAUAACCCAGAAUGUUAGGAAGCUGGGGUCUGAGCACAGGGUCAGUCAUGAUACAGCGUCCCUGGAGCAGAGAGGGUUAAGGGCCUUGCUCAAGGGCCCAACAGUGGCAGCUUGGCAGUGCUGGGGCUUGAACCCCGACCUUCCCAUCAGUAACCCAGAGCCUUAAUGACCAAGCCACCACUGCCCCCAUGUUUCUCUGUAACAGUGAUCAAAAUGUAUCUAAGAUAAAUAUUUAAUUAAAUUCUAUGUAUUAAUUUAUUUAUUACAAAAACACUCAAGUUCAAAAUUCUGGCAUGAUCUGCUGCAAAUGGUGUGUAUCGAUCAUAAUCCUAAUGAGCAGGUUAAGUUUGCAGAUCUUUAUGGGGUCAUGACAGGUGCAAGUGCUUAAAGCCUGUAGGAGAAGGGUGUAAUGUGGUUAUGUUGUUCCACAGUGUCCUCCUGUGUGUGGUGGCUAAAGGACAUGGAAAAAGGACGAGGAGAGCAGAGGAGAUAAUGGAUGGUGUGCGAUCUGUUUGGCCUCCUGAUGCUGAUGGAUGCCUGUGGCACUUUCCUGCCUCAUAAUGCACAAACUCACACACACACACACACACACACACACACACACAGGAACACAGUCAUACAUACACAGGCACAUCCCUGUCUCUGCAUCUCUCUCACUUUUUCUCAGUCUUUUGGGAAAGUCACUUCCAGGAGACAUAUUUCUGUCCUCCUGUACAGACAGUGAAGAGGAGGUAAGCCUUAAUCAAAUUCAGAGUAAGAAUCAUCCGUCACAGCUUUAGACAUCCAUUCUGAAGAGGGUGGGAGGGGGGAAGAGUGGGGGAGUGUGAGAGGGAGGGGGAGAAGGAAAGUAGAAAAUGGUAGAGAGGACCAGGAGAAUAAGAGGUACAGAAAGGAAAGAGUGUCUACAAGGUUGGGGCUUGCUUUCUAAUCAAUAGCCGUCUUUUUUUUUGUGUGGAAAUCAAACAUUUAUAAAUCCUUCUCUAGAGCUAGUGUCUGUACUCAGUGGGGUUUUCCUGUUUGCUGUGCUGCCUCCAUUUACUUGUCACCAGUGGCAGGCUAGACUUAACAAGCAUCCUCAGUCUCAACAAGAGAACUACCUGCUGGGACAUCACAAGCAUCAGAGCCUUACCUGAUUGCUCUAUACUUGAAGCCAUGGAACAAGCAGAGAAUAAAACCACCUCGCCACAAAAGCAGAAUCGGUCCAAAAAUCGAUCCAAAUCGACAGAUGAGGUGCAGCAAGCGAAAAAGGCCUUUCACACACCACAGAAGUCUCUUCCAGCUAAACCAGAGACGGAGAAGUUGGAGGCGGACACCGAGGAGCUUAGCGCUUCAACCGAGGAGCUAAAAUAAUGGCAUCACUCAGACUGGGGUUACAGGAAAAUUU